This 1343-nucleotide ribosomal RNA is filed under the name uncultured bacterium. RNAcentral describes it as "16S ribosomal RNA". It matches the Rfam family "Bacterial small subunit ribosomal RNA", at positions 28 to 1378 of the family's 1533-position model. The record is from RNAcentral.
GACGAACGCUGGCGGCGUGCUUAACACAUGCAAGUCGAACGGAAAGGCCCUGCUUUUGUGGGGUGCUCGAGUGGCGAACGGGUGAGUAACACGUGAGUAACCUGCCCUUGACUUUGGGAUAACUUCAGGAAACUGGGGCUAAUACCGGAUAGGAGCUCCUGCUGCAUGGUGGGGGUUGGAAAGUUUCGGCGGUUGGGGAUGGACUCGCGGCUUAUCAGCUUGUUGGUGGGGUAGUGGCUUACCAAGGCUUUGACGGGUAGCCGGCCUGAGAGGGUGACCGGCCACAUUGGGACUGAGAUACGGCCCAGACUCCUACGGGAGGCAGCAGUGGGGAAUAUUGCACAAUGGGCGGAAGCCUGAUGCAGCAACGCCGCGUGCGGGAUGACGGCCUUCGGGUUGUAAACCGCUUUCGCCUGUGACGAAGCGUGAGUGACGGUAAUGGGUAAAGAAGCACCGGCUAACUACGUGCCAGCAGCCGCGGUGAUACGUAGGGUGCGAGCGUUGUCCGGAUUUAUUGGGCGUAAAGGGCUCGUAGGUGGUUGAUCGCGUCGGAAGUGUAAUCUUGGGGCUUAACCCUGAGCGUGCUUUCGAUACGGGUUGACUUGAGGAAGGUAGGGGAGAAUGGAAUUCCUGGUGGAGCGGUGGAAUGCGCAGAUAUCAGGAGGAACACCAGUGGCGAAGGCGGUUCUCUGGGCCUUUCCUGACGCUGAGGAGCGAAAGCGUGGGGAGCGAACAGGCUUAGAUACCCUGGUAGUCCACGCUGUAAACGGUGGGUACUAGGUGUGGGGUCCAUUCCACGGGUUCCGUGCCGUAGCUAACGCUUUAAGUACCCCGCCUGGGGAGUACGGCCGCAAGGCUAAAACUCAAAGGAAUUGACGGGGCCCCGCACAAGCGGCGGAGCAUGCGGAUUAAUUCGAUGCAACGCGUAGAACCUUACCUGGGUUUGACAUGGAUCGGGAGUGCUCAGAGAUGGGUGUGCCUCUUUUGGGGUCGGUUCACAGGUGGUGCAUGGCUGUCGUCAGCUCGUGUCGUGAGAUGUUGGGUUAAGUCCCGCAACGAGCGCAACCCUUGUUCACUGUUGCCAGCACGUUAUGGUGGGGACUCAGUGGAGACCGCCGGGGUCAACUCGGAGGAAGGUGGGGAUGACGUCAAGUCAUCAUGCCCCUUAUGUCCAGGGCUUCACGCAUGCUACAAUGGCUGGUACAGAGAGUGGCGAGCCUGUGAGGGUGAGCGAAUCUCGGAAAGCCGGUCUCAGUUCGGAUCGGGGUCUGCAACUCGACCUCAUGAAGUCGGAGUCGCUAGUAAUCGCAGAUCAGCAACGCUGCGGUGAAUACGUUCCCGGG